RNAcentral lists this transfer RNA (68 nucleotides) under Loxodonta africana (African savanna elephant). It matches the Rfam family "tRNA". Rfam says of the family: Transfer RNA (tRNA) molecules are approximately 80 nucleotides in length. Lineage: Eukaryota; Metazoa; Chordata; Mammalia; Proboscidea; Elephantidae. The record is from Rfam by way of RNAcentral.
GCGGUGGUUGAGUAGUAGAAUUCACAUCUUCCAUGUGGGAGGCCUGGGUUCGAGUCCCGGCCAACGCA